GUAGGGAAUAUUGGACAAUGGGCGAAAGCCUGAUCCAGCCAUGCCGCGUGUGUGAAGAAGGUCUUCGGAUUGUAAAGCACUUUAAGUUGGGAGGAAGGGCAGUAAGUUAAUACCUUGCUGUUUUGACGUUACCGACAGAAUAAGCACCGGCUAACUUCGUGCCAGCAGCCGCGGUAAUACGAAGGGUGCAAGCGUUAAUCGGAAUUACUGGGCGUAAAGCGCGCGUAGGUGGUUUUGUAAGUUGGAGGUGAAAUCCCCGGGCUCAACCUGGGAACUGCCUCCAAAACUGCAUGACUAGAGUACGGUAGAGGGUAGUGGAAUUUCCUGUGUAGCGGUGAAAUGCGUAGAUAUAGGAAGGAACACCAGUGGCGAAGGCGACUACCUGGACUGAUACUGACACUGAGGUGCGAAAGCGUGGGGAGCAAACAGGAUUAGAAACCCGAGUAGUCC
RNAcentral lists this ribosomal RNA (450 nucleotides) under uncultured bacterium. RNAcentral's name for it is "partial 16S ribosomal RNA". It matches the Rfam family "Bacterial small subunit ribosomal RNA", at positions 354 to 796 of the family's 1533-position model. The record is from RNAcentral.